This 65-nucleotide small nuclear RNA is filed under the name Jaculus jaculus (lesser Egyptian jerboa). The record is from RNAcentral. Lineage: Eukaryota; Metazoa; Chordata; Mammalia; Rodentia; Dipodidae.
AGAGAAGAUUAGCAUGGCCCUUGCACAAGGAUGACAUGCAAAUUCAUGUAGUGUUCCAUCUUUUU